GAGGGCUAACUAAGAUCUGCUAACUCUUUAAUCCGGAAAUAAUAGCCGGGGCUCUCU
This 57-nucleotide transfer RNA is filed under the name Pseudagkistrodon rudis (Red keelback). Its description in RNAcentral is "tRNA-Ser". The record is from RNAcentral. Lineage: Eukaryota; Metazoa; Chordata; Lepidosauria; Squamata; Natricidae.